GUACAGAGUCAAUGUGGAGGCUAUAUACAGGGGGUAACGGUACAGAGUCAAUGUGGAGGCUAUAUACAGGGGUACCGGUACAGAGUCAAUGUGGAGGCUAUAUACAGGGGUACCGGUACAGAGUCAAUGUGGAGGCUAUAUACAGGGGGUACAGAUACAGAGACAAUGUGGAGGCUAUAUACAGGGGGUACCGGUACAGAGACAAUGUGGAGGCUAUAUACAGGGGGUACCGGUACAGAGACAAUGUGGAGGCUAUAUACAGGGGGUACAGGUACAGAGACAAUGUGGAGGCUAUAUACAGGGGGUACCGGUACAGAGUCAAUGUGGAGGCUAUAUACAGGGGGUACUGGUACAGAGUCACUGUGGAGGCUAUAUACAGGGGGUACCGGUACAGAGUCAAUGUG
Long non-coding RNA from Oncorhynchus tshawytscha (Chinook salmon), 404 nucleotides. The record is from Ensembl. NCBI's taxonomy places the organism in Eukaryota, Metazoa, Chordata, Actinopteri, Salmoniformes, Salmonidae.